AAAAAAGGGGGACAAUGUUUGAACACAUAACAGCAAGUGAAAUAGCAGGAUUUGGAGUGGGUGGUUUGCUACUUGCUGCCACCAUUUAUGCUCCCAAAAUUGAUUCCUUCAUCUCUACUUCUCAACGCAGUUCACUGGGGAUGUGCAAAAAAUGUGGAGAUUUAAAACUGAUAGCAUGUUCAAGCUGCAAAGGAUCUGGUACAAUUAAAGGAGGACCAUUAAAUUUCAUUGUUUUAGAGGAUAAAUCGAAAGUAGGAUCCUCUUCUUCUUGUAUGAAAUGUGGAGCUAGAGGACACUUUCAGUGCCCUGAGUGUUGUAAACUUAGUCAGGCUUGAUCUAUUUUACACUAUACAAGCUUAUUAUGUUCAAAAUGAUGAUGCUUUUGCUAUAGAAUUGCUUCUCUGGUAUGAAAUUUGAUCAUACACAAAACUUGUUCUAUUUCUG
Molecule: unclassified non-coding RNA, 444 nt
Filed under: Hevea brasiliensis (rubber tree)
Lineage: Eukaryota; Viridiplantae; Streptophyta; Magnoliopsida; Malpighiales; Euphorbiaceae
Source: RNAcentral